GCAGUAGCCGCGGGAAAACAGAGGGUGCAAGCGUUAAUCGGAAUUACUGGGCGUAAAGCGCGCGUAGGUGGUUUGUUAAGUUGGAUGUGAAAGCCCCGGGCUCAACCUGUGAACUGCAUCCAAAACUGGCAAGCUAGAGUACGGUAGAGGGUGGUGGAAUUUCCUGUGUAGCGGUGAAAUGCGUAGAUAUAGGAAGGAACACCAGUGGCGAAGGCGACCACCUGGACUGAUACUGACACUGAGGUGCGAAAGCGUGGGGAGCAAACAGGAUUAGAUACCCGUGUAGUCCCUGUCUCUUAUAA
This 302-nucleotide ribosomal RNA is filed under the name uncultured bacterium. RNAcentral's name for it is "partial 16S ribosomal RNA". It matches the Rfam family "Bacterial small subunit ribosomal RNA", at positions 508 to 809 of the family's 1533-position model. The record is from RNAcentral.